UAUAUAUGCAUAUAUUUAUUUAUUUAUUCUGCUACAUGGAGCAAAUAUCAAAUAGGGUUUACAAUGUGAAAAGAUACUUAAUUUCCAAAAAGAGAUUUUCACCACUUCUUUCUUCCACUCUAGUUUUGCUCCUGCCCACCAUGUCUAAUUAAGUCCAGUUACUUUAGAGAACUAAGGAAUAUUAAUGAUUAAUAGCCUUUCCUUCAGAGUAACACACGCUUGUAAUACAUCAUCAGGAGGCAGAGAUCAGAGCUCUUGAAUUAGAAGGGGAAGCUGUGAAUGAAUCUAUUACUACCACUCUGUACAAUUAACUCUACGAGUCAGAAACCAACUCCCUUCAAACUGGAAACAAUGCCCCCUCCUCAGAGAAAAUAUAUUUUCUAGAACGUUGUGCCACUCCUUAUUAAUAUGCACCAAGCAACUGGCUCAAAGCCCAUCUUUGAUCAACCUUUGGGGUGGGAAAGAUCCACAUAGACAAUAACACGAGGAAGGCAGAGGUAUGAACAGGUGCUGAGUACCGGGUUAAGGAGGGCAAUUGAAAUGUAAAGGAUUGGUUUCUCUAGUGGCAUGAACUAUUUGACCCUUAUCUGAAUUGACCCGACCCUGUCAUCUCUAUUUUAGCCCUGAUUUGAUCUGCAGUUUCAAGGCAGCAAGACGGAAGCUACACAGACCAUUUGCCUCUGCAGGUACACAGCACUCCUCCAUUUUGAGAAGAGGAACAGAAAUACUUGAGUGGAUGAAGCUGCUAUUUGCAUCUGAUCAGUGCUAAGUGGGAUGCUAAAUUUAUGCCAAAGAAGAAUGAACACAAAUAGAGUACAAAGAAAAUUAAUGAGAGAACAUAGGUAAGGAAGAGGAUUGGGGAAGGCUUCUUAGAAGAAAUGCAUUUUGGGUUCAGCUUUGAAGAUGAAAAGAAUUCUGAAGGAUGGGGAUGAGUAAGUACAUUUCAGAGUUGAUGAAUAUUUGUUGAAUACAUAGAAGUGAGAAAUAAAGUUUGAAGAACAGCUAGAAAUCCAGUUUUGAUGAGAACAUUGGAUUUGUGAAGGAUAGUCAAAUACAAUACAAAUUGAAUAACAACAAGAAGUUUGAGAUGCCUAUAGCAUAUCUAGGAGCAAACAUCUAGGAGAAAAUUGAUUAGAGUUGAUUAGUUCUGGAAUGUAUUUAGAGAAAUCCAUGUUAUUUUUAGUUAUCCUUACCACAGUAGAUACCCUUGGAAUGUCACAUACAUUGUGAUUAUUUUAAAUGUUUAGCAUAAACUCUACCUGAACCCCUCAGUAGGUAGUCACCAAAUACCAGGACUUUUAUUUUCUUUUCCCUGUGGCCAGUAAUCAAUAUUCUUUUUCCUGGUGACAUUGAUGUGUCCUCCCAUCAUUUCAUGAAGCACCAUAAGCUGCUUCCUCUUUAAAAGGUC
This is a non-coding RNA of Monodelphis domestica (gray short-tailed opossum), 1408 nucleotides long. The record is from RefSeq and is a predicted model, not a curated record. Lineage: Eukaryota; Metazoa; Chordata; Mammalia; Didelphimorphia; Didelphidae.